GUACUGACCUGGCAGGAGAGCACUAAGACCAUGAAGGUGGUUUUCCCAAGGUGAGCCUCAUCCCUUGCCCUCUGGCUGUGCCGACCCCUGCGCUUUCCCCAAAUGUGGGCAACUUGGCGGCACGACUGUGCUGUGGCUGUGGGGGGAUGGCAUCCCUGUUGUUCCCCA
This is a non-coding RNA of Fulmarus glacialis (Northern fulmar), 168 nucleotides long. Lineage: Eukaryota; Metazoa; Chordata; Aves; Procellariiformes; Procellariidae. The record is from Rfam.